Molecule: ribosomal RNA, 55 nt
Filed under: Ophiostoma setosum
Lineage: Eukaryota; Fungi; Ascomycota; Sordariomycetes; Ophiostomatales; Ophiostomataceae
Description: partial 28S ribosomal RNA
Source: RNAcentral
ACCUCGGAUCAGGUAGAAUUACCCGCUGAACUUAAGCAUAUCAAUAAGCGGAGGA